RNAcentral lists this ribosomal RNA (301 nucleotides) under uncultured bacterium. RNAcentral describes it as "partial 16S ribosomal RNA". It matches the Rfam family "Bacterial small subunit ribosomal RNA", at positions 509 to 807 of the family's 1533-position model. The record is from RNAcentral.
CAGCCGCCGCGGGAAUACGAAGGGGGCUAGCGUUGCUCGGAAUUACUGGGCGUAAAGGGCGCGUAGGCGGAUGUUUAAGUCAGAGGUGAAAGCCCAGGGCUCAACCUUGGAGCUGCCUUUGAUACUGGACAUCUUGAGUGUGGGAGAGGUGAGUGGAACUCCGAGUGUAGAGGUGAAAUUCGUAGAUAUUCGGAAGAACACCAGUGGCGAAGGCGACUCACUGGCCCAUUACUGACGCUGAGGCACGAAAGCGUGGGGGGCAAACAGGAUUAGAUACCCGCGUAGUCCCUGUCUCUUAUAC